Molecule: ribosomal RNA, 253 nt
Filed under: uncultured bacterium
Lineage: Bacteria
Description: partial 16S ribosomal RNA
Rfam family: Bacterial small subunit ribosomal RNA
Source: RNAcentral
UACGUAGGGUGCAAGCGUUGUCCGGAAUUAUUGGGCUUAAAGAGCUCGUAGGCGGUUUGUCGCGUCUGCUGUGAAAACCCGAGGCUCAACCUCGGGCCUGCAGUGGGUACGGGCAGACUAGAGUGCGGUAGGGGAGAUUGGAAUUCCUGGUGUAGCGGUGGAAUGCGCAGAUAUCAGGAGGAACACCAAUGGCGAAGGCAGAUCUCUGGGCCGUAACUGACGCUGAGGAGCGAAAGCAUGGGGAGCGAACAGG